CGGGGGGAGCAAGCGUUGUUCGGAUUUACUGGGCGUAAAGGGCGCGUAGGCGGCCACCGCAAGUCGACUGUGAAAUCUCCGGGCUUAACUCGGAAAGGUCAGCCGAUACUGCGGGGCUAGAGUGCAGAAGGGGCAACUGGAAUUCUCGGUGUAGCGGUGAAAUGCGUAGAUAUCGAGAGGAACACCUGCGGCGAAGGCGGGUUGCUGGGCUGACACUGACGCUGAGGCGCGAAAGCUAGGGGAGCGAACGGGAUUAGAUACCCCGGUAGUCCUAGCCUUAAACGAUGGAUGCUUGGUGUCUGGGGUUUUAUAGUCCCCGGGUGCCGUCGCUAACGCUUUAAAGCAUCCCGCCUGGGGAGUACGGUCGCAAGACUAG
Molecule: ribosomal RNA, 376 nt
Filed under: uncultured organism
Description: bacterial SSU rRNA
Rfam family: Bacterial small subunit ribosomal RNA
Source: RNAcentral